CCAAUGGGAAAAUGAAGCUGUGCCUGGGUUCAUCCUGGGCAGCCUGAUCUAGUAUUUGGCAGCCCUGCCUGCCGCAGAGGGUUGAAGCUCAGUGGUCUCUAGGUCCUUCCCAACUGAAGCUCAGUGGUCUCUAGGUCCUUUCCAACUGAAGCUACUCUGUGAUUUUGAUGGGGGGGUGUGUAGCGUGACAGCCUUCUUUGGACCACUGUGGAAUUACUCCUGUUAAGUUUUCCAAGCAGAUGAACUUGGGUUUGUGUGGAGCUGCUGAUGAUGUUGAAAGGAGAUAGAAUUUGCAGAUCUCUUGCAGGAGAUAGCUGAUAUGACCCAGGCAGGCUGUAGGCUCAUUGUUUUUGUCACAGAAAAGACAAACUAAGAGAUUCUGGAAGCAACAAUUUUUCUUCAAAUUUUUUUUUAUUUUUUUAUCUUUAAUCUUAAAGCAGGGUAUACUUCUCCAUUAUGAAAUAAUUCCUCAAGAUUCUUUGAAAGCAUCAAUAUAUCAGCCUUCAUUGUAAAAUGUUGGUUGUGAAUGAGAUAAUGUUUCUGUGCUAACUGAAAAGUACUGUCCUGCUUUCAACCCAGCUGCUGGAGUCCAGUCUUUUUGAGACUGUACUCUUGCUUACCUUCAUGUGACCGGGCAGGUGGUUCAGACUCUGCUGUGCAGCACUUUGCUCCUCAGUGAUGGUAGAAAAAUACUAUCUGCAUGAUAUUAGUCUUCAAAUGUUUGAAGUGUGAACUCUUUGCGGGUUCUGUUGUCCUAGUCACUAUGCAAAUUCAGGUUAAGAGUGCUCAUGCUCUCCAAACUACUUAUUCACUGAUUUAUUUUACUUUUAUUUCCCCUUCCUUAGCUUACUGCAGUGUUUCUGUGAGUUAUGCCUGAUUUGGCCAUGGGGCUUAAGUCUGCCUUUCAAAUUAGUAGUUCUAUUUGGGUAGAACGAGCUAUUCCAGGACUUUGUGAAAACGGAGUGUUUCAGGAAUGUGAUGGUGUGCUGUAUCCUGGGAAGAAGUCUACCUAGUUCCAUACUUCUGCGCUACUUGUAAAGAAUUAUGUGGUUCCUGCUCUGAGCCCAGAGCCUGCUUCCUGCCCAAGAGGCUUUCCCUGAGCCACUGGCAAAUGUGAAAGCCCAUUUGUUGUUCCUAAACAUUUACUGUAGCUAAUUUUGGUUUAACACAACCAUUGUCAGUGCCACAUAGUAUGAGGUGAUGAAUUGCUGUGUACUGUACAUAUCUGUUUGACUAGGAUAUCAUCUGAGUAGUGGCACCGUGCCAAAUACAUUUUCAUUCUCUUACUUCAUGCUCUUUGAAAGGCUUGUUAUCUAGCCUGAGACAACUACCACUGUGGUGGACUCCUGCUUAAGCUAUUUGUGAACUGAUAUCAUCGUGCUGCUUUGAGAACUAUGCCGAAAGCUUAAGCUUCAGAAUUUUGUCUGAAUGCUUCCGACCUUUCCCUUCACAUUCCAUUAAAUAAUGACCUGGGCCAGCUUCUUACUUACCAAAGGAAAACAUCAGGGGUUUAUGCUGGGCACAGUGAGGAGACCACUGCAGUUUUUCAUGCCAUGCCAAAAUAGAUGUUCCAUUUUGUUUUGAUGUUGCUUUAUCAUUAGUUUUCUCUCAUUUGCUGUAGAAGUAAAAAUCAAGCAAAUGCUGUAGCACACCUUUAUGCUUCAGGGUUUCUGUGAGUGUACUAUUUCUACAGAGAUGGCUGUGAUAAUGGAAUUUUUUAUUUUAUUUUUUCAAAAACAGCUCAGAUUUUUUGGCAGAACCGUACGUGAGUGAAAGCUGUGAGAGGAUUCAAGGUUUUUGAGCAUUUAUUGGGUUUGAAUGCACUCCCAUUUUUAGUACGAUUCUGAAUUUUGCUUCUAAAUAAGACAUCACAGAUAAUUGUAAACUUUCCUAAAAGUUUUCCAAUGGUGUAUUUUUGGAUGCAGCAGCAAGAGCAGAUUUUUGUUUUGUUUUGCGCUGUGUGUGUGUGUGGUUCUCUGAGGACAGAUCACUGCAGAACGUGGUAGCCAGCCUCUGCUUCCUGCUCAGGUUUCCAAAACUCACUAAGAAUGGAAGGACAGGCAAGGCUUUGUAUUUAUGGUUUGGUUACUAUGUAUAGGUCGGCCUGUGAAAUCCAAGUGGCCACUAUUUCCCAUUGCCUUAGGUAAGGCUUUGUGCAGGUUCAGUGCUGAACCCCAGCUGCUGAGUAGCUGGCAGGUGCUGUGAUACUUAAAUGGAUCCCAGGACAAAUGUGUUGCUGUCUGCCUCUGGCCAAUAUGUACAUCAUAAGUAUGAAGCUCACUUAUCUUAAUAUUGAAAAAGUGAAGGUUUAAUUUUCCACAUAAAGUCUGGUUUGUCCAGUGAAGUAGAAGAAAACAGUUUGUAUCCUGCUGCUUGUGACUGGACCACUGUUUAUACGUUGUGUUGAACAAGACAGUUGUUCAUGUGGAACAAAAGGCUACAGGGCACCAUAAGUUUAGUACAGAGACACAACAAGAACUGCUCCUGGGAGAAGAACUCCCUGAAAGCAGCCCUGUGGAAAGGGACUUGGAGGUUCUGGUGGGUGAGAAGCUGGAUGUGAGGUUGAGGCAGCAGUGUGUACUUACAGCUGUGCUGCACCGUGCCUGGAGGUGCCUCAGGCCAUGGACGGGCCCUGAGCUGGGGGGGCUGUCAGGCCCUCUCUGUCCCGCUGUUCUGCAGUGCUAUGAAGCAAAGUCCUUAACUCAGAAAUUCUGUAAAUACCGUCUUGAAUUUUUAUUCCUGUUUUCUGCAGAACUAUUUGCUGAAUUGACAGAAUGUUUCACCAGUUGGAGCUGGAGUCAGGGGGAGCGAAGGGGUGAAAGGCUUUCGGGGAAGGAAUGAUAUUUCCAAAACAGCAUUUCUGGACAAAAAAAAAAAAAAAAA
This is a non-coding RNA of Coturnix japonica (Japanese quail), 2883 nucleotides long. The record is from RefSeq and is a predicted model, not a curated record. NCBI's taxonomy places the organism in Eukaryota, Metazoa, Chordata, Aves, Galliformes, Phasianidae.